AUCCAGCUGACGAGUCCCAAAUAGGACCGAACGCGCGUCCUGGAU
Schistosoma rodhaini is the source of this 45-nucleotide non-coding RNA. NCBI's taxonomy places the organism in Eukaryota, Metazoa, Platyhelminthes, Trematoda, Strigeidida, Schistosomatidae. The record is from Rfam.